This 241-nucleotide unclassified non-coding RNA is filed under the name plant metagenome. RNAcentral describes it as "partial contains small subunit ribosomal RNA, internal transcribed spacer 1, and 5.8S ribosomal RNA". The record is from RNAcentral.
UUUCCGUAGGUGAACCUGCGGAAGGAUCAUUAUUGAAUGAAACACUCCUGGCUUUAUGCUGUUGUGCUGGCCCUUUGGGCAAUGUGCACACGGCUCUGGUCACUUGUUUCUUCUGUUCCACCUGUGCACUGCCUGUAGACACGCUGUGUCUAUGAUAUUUGUUAACACACAACAAUGUUAGUUGGCAUGUUAUAUAUAAUAAUAAAAUAUACAACUUUCAACAACGGAUCUCUUGGCUCUC